Molecule: ribosomal RNA, 540 nt
Filed under: uncultured bacterium
Lineage: Bacteria
Description: bacterial SSU rRNA
Rfam family: Bacterial small subunit ribosomal RNA
Source: RNAcentral
CCUACGGGAGGCAGCAGUGGGGAAUUUUGGACAAUGGGCGCAAGCCUGAUCCAGCAAUGCCGCGUGAGUGAAGAAGGCCUUCGGGUUGUAAAGCUCUUUUGUCAGGGAAGAAACGGCUGAGGCUAAUAUCCUCGGCUAAUGACGGUACCUGAAGAAUAAGCACCGGCUAACUACGUGCCAGCAGCCGCGGUAAUACGUAGGGUGCAAGCGUUAAUCGGAAUUACUGGGCGUAAAGCGUGCGCAGGCGGUUUUGUAAGUCUGUCGUGAAAGCCCCGGGCUUAACCUGGGAAUUGCGAUGGAGACUGCAAGGCUUGAAUCUGGCAGAGGGGGGUAGAAUUCCACGUGUAGCAGUGAAAUGCGUAGAGAUGUGGAGGAACACCGAUGGCGAAGGCAGCCCCCUGGGUCAAGAUUGACGCUCAUGCACGAAGACGGUGGGGAGGACGAACAAGGAGUAGUAUACCGUACGGUAGUACCGACCGACCCGUAACCGACUAGUCUACUAGUUGUUCGGUUCGUUAUUAGUACGUUAGGUACGUACGA